This 588-nucleotide unclassified non-coding RNA is filed under the name Aspergillus puniceus. RNAcentral describes it as "sequence contains 18S rRNA gene, ITS1, 5.8S rRNA gene, ITS2, 28S rRNA gene". The stretch from base 215 to 368 matches the Rfam family "5.8S ribosomal RNA". The record is from RNAcentral. Lineage: Eukaryota; Fungi; Ascomycota; Eurotiomycetes; Eurotiales; Aspergillaceae.
GUAACAAGGUUUCCGUAGGUGAACCUGCGGAAGGAUCAUUACCGAGUGCAGGCCUCGCCCCACAGGCAGGCCUAACCUCCCACCCGUGAAUACCUGACCAACGUUGCUUCGGCGGUGCGCGCCCCCUUCCCGGGGGGCGUAAGCCGCCGGGGACCACACCGAACUUCUUGUUUUUAGCGUGUCGUCUGAGCUUGAUACAAGCAAACCUAAUUAAAACUUUCAACAAUGGAUCUCUUGGUUCCGGCAUCGAUGAAGAACGCAGCGAACUGCGAUAAGUAAUGUGAAUUGCAGAAUUCAGUGAAUCAUCGAGUCUUUGAACGCACAUUGCGCCCCCUGGCAUUCCGGGGGGCAUGCCUGUCCGAGCGUCAUUGCUGCCCUUCAAGCCCGGCUUGUGUGUUGGGUCGUCGUCCCCCCCGGGGGACGGGCCCGAAAGGCAGCGGCGGCACCGCGUCCUGGUCCUCGAGCGUAUGGGGCUUUGUCACCCGCUCGUUUAGGGCCGGCCGGGCGCCAGCCGGCGUCUCCAAACCUUUUAUUUUACCAGGUUGACCUCGGAUCAGGUAGGGAUACCCGCUGAACUUAAGCAUAUCA